CCUACGGGGGGCUGCAGUGGGGAAUAUUGGACAAUGGGGGCAACCCUGAUCCAGCCAUGCCGCGUGUGUGAAGAAGGCCCUCGGGUUGUAAAGCACUUUCAGUGAGGAAGAACGCCUGGUGGUUAAUACCCAUCAGGAAAGACAUCACUCACAGAAGAAGCACCGGCUAACUCCGUGCCAGCAGCCGCGGUAAUACGGAGGGUGCGAGCGUUAAUCGGAAUUACUGGGCGUAAAGCGCGCGUAGGUGGCUUGAUAAGCCGGUUGUGAAAGCCCCGGGCUCAACCUGGGAACGGCAUCCGGAACUGUCAAGCUAGAGUGCAGGAGAGGAAGGUAGAAUUCCCGGUGUAGCGGUGAAAUGCGUAGAGAUCGGGAGGAAUACCAGUGGCGAAGGCGGCCUUCUGGACUGACACUGACUCUGAGGUGCGAAAGCGUGGGUAGCAAACAGGAUUAGAUACCCUAGUAGUC
This 465-nucleotide ribosomal RNA is filed under the name Vreelandella stevensii. Its description in RNAcentral is "partial 16S ribosomal RNA". It matches the Rfam family "Bacterial small subunit ribosomal RNA", at positions 338 to 795 of the family's 1533-position model. Lineage: Bacteria; Pseudomonadati; Pseudomonadota; Gammaproteobacteria; Oceanospirillales; Halomonadaceae. The record is from RNAcentral.